AAAAAUGCAUUUUAAUCCUCCGAAACCUUCUAAUAUCGGUCCAGUCCCUUAUCACGCGUGUAAUAUGCGCGUACACCCCUCCACGACCGAUCUCUCGUGAUUCGGUACAUAAAAUAUUAAGACUUUCGCAAAAUUAUCGGUUUUGCCAAUUCGACCCCUCAGCGAACAUUUCGCGUUUUCUGAAGAUCCGUCCGUCGGAUUUUCGAUCCGACCGAGCCAUCGCGUUCAGCACGACGG
This 237-nucleotide long non-coding RNA is filed under the name Ananas comosus (pineapple). RNAcentral describes it as "long non-coding RNA (ACOM_LNC022428)". The record is from RNAcentral. Lineage: Eukaryota; Viridiplantae; Streptophyta; Magnoliopsida; Poales; Bromeliaceae.